Molecule: ribosomal RNA, 584 nt
Filed under: uncultured bacterium
Lineage: Bacteria
Description: bacterial SSU rRNA
Rfam family: Bacterial small subunit ribosomal RNA
Source: RNAcentral
GUUGGCGGGGUAACGGCCCACCAAAGCCACGAUCAGUAGCCGACCUGAGAGGGUGACCGGCCACAUUGGGACUGAGACGCGGCCCAAACUCCUACGGGAGGCAGCAGUGGGGAAUAUUGCACAAUGGGCGCAAGCCUGAUGCAGCGACGCCGCGUGAGUGAAGAAGUAUCUCGGUAUGUAAAGCUCUAUCAGCAGGGAAGAAAAUGACGGUACCUGACUAAGAAGCCCCGGCUAACUACGUGCCAGCAGCCGCGGUAAUACGUAGGGGGCAAGCGUUAUCCGGAUUUACUGGGUGUAAAGGGAGCGUAGACGGCGACGCAAGUCUGGAGUGAAAGCCCGGGGCCCAACCCCGGGACUGCUUUGGAAACUGUGUUGCUGGAGUGCAGGAGAGGUAAGUGGAAUUCCUAGUGUAGCGGUGAAAUGCGUAGAUAUUAGGAGGAACACCAGUGGCGAAGGCGGCUUACUGGACUGUAACUGACGUUGAGGCUCGAAAGCGUGGGGAGCAAACAGGAUUAGAUACCCUGGUACUCCACGCCGUAAACGAUGAAUGCUAGGUGUCGGGGGGCAAAGCCCUUCGGUGCCGC